GCCCUGAUAGUAUAAACAUUACACUGGUCUUGUAAACCAGAAAUGAAAAACCUACUUUUCUCAGGGCA
This 68-nucleotide transfer RNA is filed under the name Myodes glareolus (Bank vole). RNAcentral describes it as "tRNA-Thr". The record is from RNAcentral. Lineage: Eukaryota; Metazoa; Chordata; Mammalia; Rodentia; Cricetidae.